This 207-nucleotide ribosomal RNA is filed under the name uncultured bacterium. Its description in RNAcentral is "partial 16S ribosomal RNA". It matches the Rfam family "Bacterial small subunit ribosomal RNA", at positions 568 to 774 of the family's 1533-position model. The record is from RNAcentral.
CUCGUAGGCGGCCAACUAAGUCGGACGUGAAAUCCCUCGGCUUAACCGGGGAACUGCGUCUGAUACUGGAUGGCUUGAGUUCGGGAGAGGGAUGCGGAAUUCCAGGUGUAGCGGUGAAAUGCGUAGAUAUCUGGAGGAACACCGGUGGCGAAGGCGGCAUCCUGGACCGAUACUGACGCUGAUGAGCGAAAGCCAGGGGAGCAAACG